This 126-nucleotide ribosomal RNA is filed under the name Lepisosteus oculatus (spotted gar). Lineage: Eukaryota; Metazoa; Chordata; Actinopteri; Semionotiformes; Lepisosteidae. The record is from RNAcentral.
GCCAGCAGCCAUAUCACCCUGCAACUCACAACUGGCAGCCCACUGAAGCUAAGCUAAGUUAAGGUGUGAGCCUGGUCAGUAGCUGGAUGGGAGACCUCCUGGGAAAAACUAAGGUUGCUGCUGGAA